GACGAACGCUGGCGGCGUGCUUAACACAUGCAAGUCGAACGGAAAGGCCCUGCUUUUGUGGGGUGCUCGAGUGGCGAACGGGUGAGUAACACGUGAGUAACCUGCCCUUGACUUUGGGAUAACUUCAGGAAACUGGGGCUAAUACCGGAUAGGAGCUCCUGCUGCAUGGGGGGGGUUGGAAAGUGUCGGCGGUUGGGGAUGGACUCGCGGCUUAUCAGCUUGUUGGUGGGGUAGUGGCUUACCAAGACUUUGACGGGUAGCCGGCCUGAGAGGGUGACCGGCCACAUUGGGCCUGAGAUACGGCCCAGACUCCUACGGGCGGCAGCAGUGGGGAAUAUUGCACAAUGGGCGGAAGCCUGAUGCAGCAACGCCGCGUGCGGGAUGACGGCCUUCGGGUUGUAAACCGCUUUCGCCUGUGACGAAGCGUGAGUGACGGUAAUGGGUAAAGAAGCACCGGCUAACUACGUG
This 468-nucleotide ribosomal RNA is filed under the name uncultured bacterium. RNAcentral's name for it is "partial 16S ribosomal RNA". It matches the Rfam family "Bacterial small subunit ribosomal RNA", at positions 28 to 507 of the family's 1533-position model. The record is from RNAcentral.